This 736-nucleotide ribosomal RNA is filed under the name Sandsitermes robustus. RNAcentral describes it as "partial large subunit ribosomal RNA". The stretch from base 302 to 500 matches the Rfam family "Bacterial large subunit ribosomal RNA", at positions 1703 to 2026 of the family's 2925-position model. The record is from RNAcentral. Lineage: Eukaryota; Metazoa; Arthropoda; Insecta; Blattodea; Termitidae.
UUAAUUCAUACAUCUUAUUUAAUUUCUGUUGUUUUCUCUUUAAUUUUUAUUUGAUGUUAAGAUUAAGGGGGAUUAGCUCCUUGUUUUAUUUUUAUAAUUUGUGUUAUGAUGAAAAUUUAGUUUUGUGGAUUUUAUAGUGAUUUUCUAUUUGAUUAUGUUAAAAUUUUAUUUAUUCUUUUAUUUAUUUUUUGUUGUUUAAGUUUUUAUUGAAAUGUUUAUUUUAUUUUUAGUUUUGUAUAGUAAUUAUUGUGGAAUUAGUAAAUUUUACUUCUAUAUUUAGUAUGGAUUGGAUGAUAAUUAUUUUUGAGGAAUUCGGCAAAGUUUCAUGUUCGCCUGUUUAACAAAAACAUCUUUUCUUGUUAGUUUAUGAAGUAUGGCCUGCCCACUGACUUUUAUGUUGAAGGGCCGCGGUAUUUUGACCGUGCAAAGGUAGCAUAAUCAUUAGUUCUUUAAUUGUGAUCUGGUAUGAAUGGCUUGACGAGGCAUGAUCUGUCUUAAGAUGUAUUGUUUAUUGAAUUUGAUUUUUGAGUUAAAAUACUUAAAUGUUUUUAUGGGACGAGAAGACCCUAUAGAGUUUGACUUUUUUCUUAUUUAUUUUUUGUUUGUUCUAUAUGUUGAGUGAGGAUAAUAGUUUUGUUGGGGUGAUGGGAGGAAUUUAUUUAACUCCUCUUUGUUAUAUUGUAUAUUUAUUUAUGUUUUUUUGAUCCAUUUAUUUUGAUUAUAAGAUUAAAUUACC